Molecule: long non-coding RNA, 373 nt
Filed under: Physcomitrium patens
Lineage: Eukaryota; Viridiplantae; Streptophyta; Bryopsida; Funariales; Funariaceae
Description: long non-coding RNA (PPAT_LNC012921)
Source: RNAcentral
AAAAGAUGAAACAUUAGAUGAAAGAGGGUGUCACAAGUAUGUUAUUGAUGAUAUGCAAGAUUGUGAAAAGAUUUUAACUUGACUUGAAGAAAUUUAUUUUACACUUUUGAGAGCAAAAUCUACAUUUGGAAUAUAAGAAAUUAUCAUUGAUAGGCAUUUGUAUGGAUUUUAUGGAAAAAAAAACUAGAUUUAGGUAAAAUUAAUACAAUUGGAAGGAUGAAGGAUAUAUGUGACUCUUUAAUAAAAGUAUGUAGGUUUUUAAGAGCUUGUAUAUUUUAUUGUAUAUGGAUUCCUCAUUAUGAUUAUAUAUUAGAUCUAUUAUAUGGAUUAUUACAUGAAUGUUGUUAAUUUAAAUGAAAAAAAAUAUAUUUAA